Molecule: long non-coding RNA, 498 nt
Filed under: Sarcophilus harrisii (Tasmanian devil)
Lineage: Eukaryota; Metazoa; Chordata; Mammalia; Dasyuromorphia; Dasyuridae
Description: lncRNA (ENSSHAG00000028320.1)
Source: RNAcentral
CCUGCAAGAGGCAAACUCUUAAAGCUGUAGAAGAUGCCAACUAAGGGCUCUCUUGUAUGACAAAAUGAUGCUUCAAAUGAGAAGGUGAUGGCUUGAAACUAGGAAAACACCAGCACUUACUCGGUUCUCCUCUGGCAUGCAUUUGACAUCCUAGGACUAAAAGUGACCAGUUUACCCAUUGGAAAUGGAAAUCCAAGUUAUCCACAAGGUGAGGUGAGCAGUAGGGUGAGUUUCCUCAGCUACUAUUUAGUCUGUAUAUUACUCCUUGAGGAGAAAGGGUGAUUUAGUCAAAUUUUUUUUUUCCUUUUUGAUUCAUCAGGAGCACCAGGGUAUUUAGUUGAUAAAGAUAGGCUUAGAAGCCAUCAUCCCAAACCCUUAAUUAAGAUCUAGUGUGACAAUAAGUCAAUGAAACAACUACAUGGACCUGGUUUCAUAUUUUAAGGAAAACAGUAUAGCACAAAUCCUGUACUUUUAAGUUAAUUAAAUCCUUAUCUUUUC